Molecule: long non-coding RNA, 3750 nt
Organism: Numida meleagris (helmeted guineafowl)
Lineage: Eukaryota; Metazoa; Chordata; Aves; Galliformes; Numididae
Exons: 6
Source: RefSeq, a predicted model, not a curated record
GGCGCGUGCGCGGCCUCUUAGCGGUCGCCUCGGGGGGCGGCUCUGGUUGGAAGCGGCUCCAGGCGUCCUUGAGGUGGGGUGGGGUUCUGGCCCGGCCCAGCGGGCUCUGCUGAGGGCAGCGAGCGUGAUGCAGUCAGCAGUGGAUGUCUCCUUGCUUAGAGGAAAGCUGGAACAUUAGGAUGUCAAGCUGAAGGCGGUGCUGAAUCUAAACUUCAGCUUUGAAUCACCUCAACCUGUGUUUGAACACUAAACGUUUUCCUCAGAUUUACAAAGAGGGAGUCACAAGCAUAUUCUGAAAUCAUCCUGCCCAUCUGUUACAGAAUAGAGUUGGGGUUAAGUACUCUGACCUGGAGCUGCUCCUUGCUUUCCUUGGCUUGAGCCUGUUAAGUGUCUGGGCUUGAGGAAUGAGCAUCUAGACCCACUAAAUCCUUGUAUGUACUCAGGAGGAUCAUCAAAGGGAAAUUGUAACUCUUCUUAUCCAUCCAGAAUUUUUGUUGGAACAUAAAAUACACAAGUGAUGUUGUCCCAGCAUCAAAAGCAGAGGUAGAAAGGUCAUUUCUCAGAGGAAAUCUUCCAUAAUCUUCUGCUGCAGUUGGGGUAGCAAGAAGUUAAUUCUCUGCUUAUUAGUGAGAUGCAGCAGUGGAAGUAGGGCUGUUGAGACUCUGGGGGGAUACUUGCAAGGAGCUGGUGGGAGCUUUGCAGGGCUGGGUGAGGUAGGAAAGCAUGAAUGAAAAUUUCUCUUGGCAGAAGGCUUUUACAACUGAAUGGGUUAAUCUACUUUCCCAGAUCAGAACUGAGCAGGACAGAAAACAUUUUGAAUUUAAGCAUAUAGUAAAAGUCCUGGCUACAAGCUCAGCUCAGUUUUGACAGCAGAAUGCACUGUGCAAAGCUUGGAAGGGCAGUGAUAUAUACAGGACAUUAGAUACUGUUAGGUGCAGUUGCUAGUCAUGGCUUGCUUGAAGGUUGUAAAGUUGCUUCAUGUCUUUCUUAUUCCAUUAAAAUGAAAUAAAUUGUGUCCGGUUGGCAGAAUAUUAAGCUCCCACAUUUAAACUCAGAAAUUGUUUGAAUACAUGAGGUGGAGUCUGGGGUGCCGGCUUUAUGCAGGAAUUAUCUCAAUCUUUGGCAAUGUGUACAAACUUUGUGUGUGUACCUUGAAUGCUUCCUGGAUGUAACCAUUUCAAACACAACGUUCCUUCUGCAGCAUGCCUCACCUGUUAGCUUCUAUCUAAACCAGCUUAAGUGUUCAGGAAAGCAAGUCAUGCCCCUCACAAAAGAAUCUGGUGCAGUGGUGCGCAGUUUGAGCUCUUGCAACACCAGAAAGGUAGCAGAAAGCAGAUUUUCUCCUCUUUGGGAAGCUGAGCUGAUGAAAAAGAAAGCAGGAGGCACCUUCUGUUGAGAUUGAUCUCACCAUGGCUAGUGAAGCAGAUGUUUGCACUCACUUUGCUACAGUCUUGAUUUUGGCAUCACCAUUUAUUUUUUCACAGGUGGGACUGAGAGAGUCUCUUCCCUCACCUCUCCCGGUGUAGUGCUCAAUCUAUGUUAAACUGUGCCCAUAAAACCUGGCUACAGGCACUUCACCUAGCCCUGGUCCCAGUUUCCAUCUGCUUGUUGUGAGAGGCCCAUCUGUCAUAUUAUGGGAGAAGGGAGGGAUAGGCAUUUUACAUGCUUUCAAGGGGUCUCUGCUUUUUUUUUUUUCCUGGUAAGGUAGGUUUAAAGGUGGGAACUCUCUUUGCCAUCUAGUGGAAAUUCACUACCCUCUUCUUGACAAUUUACUUUCUCCCCAGAAUUACAUUAUUUUGGACUAGAGAGUGGAAGUAAAGUUAUUUCUUAUUCAAAACACAUGUAAGAAACUAGUUGUACAUAGGUCCUACAUUAAGAAUAUUUGUACAUGUUAUUCAGUGGAUGAUUUUACUUGAAUAAAAGUUGAUGACAAGGGAAGGGAGUAAACUAUCAGAUACCAGGAGAGGAUUCACUACAGUGAUGGUUCAUCUUCUUAUUUGCUUGACAUUGCUUGGUUUGUCUUCUAUGACAAAGUUUUAGUGUUUUUCUCUGAAUAGGGACCAGGGGAGUAUUAUGAAUUGAAUUCUGUUUUCAUUCAUUUCUGAACUUCGCUAUAAAAACAUUUAUUAAUUGUGGCUCCUUUUGUUGCAGAAAGCAGAAAACAGAGAAAACUGAAGCUGUAAGUGACAGGUCUGAAGCUUGAGAGGGAACUUUUCAUUGGAAAAAUCAGUACUAAAAGUUUCUAACCUUGUCACCAAGAGUUUGCUAGGGAGAAAGAUAGAGACGGGGGAUACUGAAGGAAACUAAGGAAACUGUGGAAGAGUUAGUAAUUCUCUUGUCAGAUCAGAGCUGAGAAAUAUGCCACUUCAACUCUCUAAAACUCCAUUUAAAAAAAAAUAAAUUGUAUUUUUCCAGGAAAAGUAGAAGUAGGCAUAUCCUGAUUCUGCCACCAAGAUCAAGCAAUUUAUCUUUGUGCUUUUAAAUUUCUUCUCUGCAAAAUGAGACACUGGGCAGUUUCUGUAAGGUUCUUUGAGAUCUAAAACUUUGUGUAAGCUAAUUCAGCAGUAAUCCCCUUUGAUGCUAAACGCUGAGUGUGAUGCAGCACUAACAAGUUGCUAGCUAAAUGAUGAUGAGAUUCAAGACCUUGUGAAAGUCACAAGUAGUGACAUCUGUGAUUUUACACAAAUUAAUGUGAUUUAUUGUUUCCUUUUUCCAUUGCUGAGAUACAAACUACAAAGCUGAUUCCAGUGAAAAACUAGCCUGUGAUCUCCUGAUGAAAGAUUAAACAAAAACCGAAAUUCAAGUUAUUUUUGAAGAUGCUUUUGUGGAAUGAUUUAGAAUGCCUGAUUCUGAACUUGUUCCUAUUUAAACAAUAUGCUGAAUUUUAAAAGUACUUGACUGACUUUAGCUUUGUUUUUUCUUUAUAGUUCUUAGUUGCUUACAUAAAAAAAAAACAAACACAUUCAUAUACACUGUAAACAAUCCAGUUUGAAGCUUUUACUCUAAUUUUGGUAGGUCUCCUUUUGGUUGGCUCUCCUUUGAACUACUGAAUGUAGUAGUGGGUACAGCUCACAUGGUCCUGCCUAAGAGCUCUCUUUUUCCCAGAAGUGUCAGAUCUCCUGUGUGAAUGUUGUAAAAAUUCCUUCUGUGUAAGUGAGUGUAUUCUAGGGGUAUUUGUGGAUGGGAGGGGGCAAGGGGAAGGUAGAAAUAGGCAUCAGUAUAUGACAAGGCAAAGAGAGGAAAAGUUUGUGCUGAGAGGUCAUGUCUGAAAGUCUCUCAAAAAUGGAUAACCUUGAGAGGCUAGCAGUGCUGUUGAAUCUGCAAACACUGAUAAAUUAACAUCAGAGUCAGCCAGACUUGGAAAGACCACCAGAAAAUACCAGUAUCAACAGUGUGUUAUGUGACUCAACACCACCACAAUCUCAGAUGUAGUAAAUCUGCAGACAGGGACUAUGGGCAUGUAUAGACAUACCAGUGGAAACAAGGGACCCCUUGAAGCUUUCUCUGGGCACCUGCCUAGAAGCCAGGAGUGUAUCGGUAUGAACUUCCAUUUGUGAGUCAACAGUUGGAGCUGGCCUCCCAGCUGUCACUGCAGCCUGGUAACUUACUAGUUAGUGCACUGGCAGGCACAUGAAUGAACUGUGUGAACAUAUUGUGUAGUUAUCUGCUAUCAAAAAUUACCGCUUAAUUCUAUUAAUAACAUCUUGAUUAAGAAAAAGAUGUUCUUGUAAAUAUGGAUGAUCUCUUCCU